Molecule: long non-coding RNA, 368 nt
Filed under: Brassica rapa (field mustard)
Lineage: Eukaryota; Viridiplantae; Streptophyta; Magnoliopsida; Brassicales; Brassicaceae
Description: long non-coding RNA (BRAP_LNC004483)
Source: RNAcentral
GAAUAAUAAAGAUGAUUCAUAAACGUGUAGAAAAAGUUAAGAAAUUACAAAAUAGACAAUUAUGCGCUUUCAAAACGCGGGUGAAAAUCUAGUUAUUAUAAAAAUUUAGAUUUGAAAACAUAUAAUUUGAAACUAUUCAAAAAAUAAUUUAUUAUUAUUUAUUUAAGUUAUCUUUGAAUUAUUUAAAAUUAUUUUUUCAUAUUUUCUUCUUAAAUUUCUAAAAUGCUUUUUGUUUUUUAAAUUUAUUUUUAGCUUUUUUUAAUUUUUUUAAACACAAUAACAAUAAUUAAGUUAAUUAAACACAAUUAGUUAUAGUUUAUAUUUUGUAAAACUAAUUCUAGAUAAUUAGAAAUAUAUGAAUAAAACAU